GUUCAGGCUACAGCUGGGUCAAUUAACAGCUUCAAGAGUUUAAAACCCACCUGGAGCUCAGUUGACACUCAUUGGCCCAAGGAAACAAUGGAGAAAUCGUUUGUUGUUAAAGAUAUGAAAAGCUUUGAGUGUUCCUCUCCAUCGGAGCUUGACAGGAAGUUUUUGGUG
Long non-coding RNA from Micropterus salmoides (largemouth bass), 168 nucleotides. RefSeq lists it as uncharacterized. NCBI's taxonomy places the organism in Eukaryota, Metazoa, Chordata, Actinopteri, Centrarchiformes, Centrarchidae. The record is from RefSeq and is a predicted model, not a curated record. The transcript has 2 exons.